This 394-nucleotide ribosomal RNA is filed under the name uncultured eukaryote. RNAcentral's name for it is "SSU rRNA". It matches the Rfam family "Eukaryotic small subunit ribosomal RNA", at positions 587 to 991 of the family's 1831-position model. The record is from RNAcentral.
AGCUCCAAUAGCGUAUAUUAAAGUUGUUGCAGUUAAAAAGCUCGUAGUUGGAUUUCUGGCAGUGUGACUCCGGCCGGCAUGACGUCGGGUCCAGAGCGCGCUACCAUCCUUCUGUCAACCUUCGCGGGAUUCAUUUCCCGCCCUGGGGCUCAGAUAUUUUACCUUGAGAAAAUUAGAGUGUUUCAGGCAGGCUUUCGCCGGAAUACAUUAGCAUGGAAUGAUGGAAAAGGACUUCAACCUCUUCUGUUGGUCUGAGAGGCUGUAGUAAUGAUUAAUAGGGAUAGUUGGGGGCAUUAGUACUUGACUGUCAGAGGUGAAAUUCUCCGAUUUGUUAAAGACUAACUUAUGCGAAAGCAUUUGCCAAGGAUGUUUUCAUUAAUCAAGAACGAAAGUA